UGUGAAGUAACACUCACUUAUUCAUGUUUGUUUGUUUGUUUGUUUUUAUUUCGCUGUAUUUUAUUUUAUUUUAUUAUUGCUUUCCCAUAUCUCUUUGUAUUUCAAUAAGAAAGAGAAAGACAGAGUGAGGAAUCAGAAGGGUUAGAUGCUAGGGAGGAUCUAGGAAAACAUAUUGUAUGAAAAUUUUUAUAAUAAAAAAUGUCUUCUGUAAGUUUACUCUAAAUAAAUCUAUAGGACAUCAUUUUGAUUAAUGAUUGCUUUGUUACUGCCUCCCCCUGGUAUUGGGCCAACUCUAGAAACCAUAGUCCUGGGUUGUAUUUAAAAGCAGGGUGAGGACGUGGGCAAGCACCAGCACCAUCACUCUAGGGUCUCUGCUUCAGAUCCUGCCUUCAGAUUUAUGCCUUAAAUUCCUGCCCAGACAUGCCUCAUUAAUGGACUUUGACAAAGAGUUGUCAGAAGAAAUAAAUUCUUUCCACUCAUGAAAAAGAAAUCUAAAAAAGAAAAGAAAAGAAGAGAAAAUAAAAGAAAAAAAAGAAAAAAGAAUGCAGGAGAUAAUUUUAAGUUCAGCCAAAAAUGGCACAUUUACAUUACUCCCCCAAGCACCAAGAAUCAAUGACAUUGCUGAUGAAAAGGCAAACAGAUUUCUAGAAACUGCAACAUGUGUGAAGUUUUAUGAAACACAGUCUUCAGGGUGUCAGAACUAUGGACUGACAGCAGCUAUGGGUACUUGAGAUGACCUACAGGAGAUCCAGCCCCAAUCUGACAUAGAGGAUAUAGAUUAUCUCCAUCCCCAUCCCCCCAUAAUGAGGAAGUAUUAGCCAUUGAAAGUUACUGCAGGGCUCAGUUACUUUUUUUUUUUCUUUUGAGUAACUAACAGAUAGGUUAGUAUUCUCCUGCUCCAGUGGAUGGCCUACCACACAUAAAUUUAUGGGCAGAACCAGCUGGACUUUAUAGCUUAUGUUUUAUAAAAGCAUGAAGUUAGAACCACUUAGGAAGAAAUAAAGGGAUUAGAUAGGAUCAUCUUUACAUUUGCAUAUACAAUUCUCAAAGUUAAAGGUAAGUUUUAGAAUUAUUUGAAUUUUUGAUGGGAGAUAUACUUUGCAUGGAGUAACACAAUCAAUGAACCUUCACAACCAAGUUGAUCGCAUGUGUGGACUUUCAGGAAAGGCUUAGAAAAGCCCCAGGGUUAAUGUUCACCUGAGUACUUCAGUGGUAGGAAAAACCUGUCCAUUGUAGGAAAAUAAUGCCAAAUGUCUGCCUAAUGUCUGAGAAGCAGUAUACACACUUUUCUCAUAGCUUUUAAAAUUAUUCCAUAGAUUAUGUUUUGGGAACGUUAAAUGAAGGAGAGUGCUAUUAUACUUUGGGAAACAUUCACAAAUACAUACAUGUAUAUCAUCUCAGAAUGCUUCUUUAAAGGCUGGCAUUUUAAAACUAUUUGAAAUUAUUUCAAUUGCCUUAUAACACUUAAAAAUCAUAUUAGUAUUAUUUCAAAUAUUCAUUAGCUAGAAUUGGGUAUAGGAAACUUUAGUAAUUUAGAGUUGGUACGCUGUAAAUAUAAACACUUUCUCUCAAGAAAGAAGUCUUUUUUUGACAUUGAUGAGAGAACUGUAAGUUAACCAGUCAGUCUGAGUCUUUGGCAUUAGUUGUCACUAAGUACACUUCUUAAAUGUCUUGUGCUAUCCUAAACUGAAAUUUACUAAUAAGUUGUAAUGUAGUCACAAUUAAAUCAUAUAUAUACAUACUUAUUACCAUAAUGUAUUAAUUUUCUGUAAAAUCAUAGCUUAUUUUAGAACAGAAAUUUAUGUAAAUAGUCAAAAACAUACACAACCUGGAACCAAAUAAGUUCAUUUACUUC
RNAcentral lists this long non-coding RNA (1855 nucleotides) under Mus musculus (house mouse). RNAcentral describes it as "long non-coding RNA chr14:111732340-111734195". The record is from RNAcentral. Lineage: Eukaryota; Metazoa; Chordata; Mammalia; Rodentia; Muridae.